CCGACCUUAGCUCAGUUGGAAGAGCACAAGACUGUAAAGGAAAACUGUAAUCUUGGGGUCGCCUGUUCGAACCAGGCAGGUCGGA
The sequence is a transfer RNA, 85 nucleotides long. It matches the Rfam family "tRNA". Rfam says of the family: Transfer RNA (tRNA) molecules are approximately 80 nucleotides in length. The record is from Rfam.